CAAAAUGUAGCUUAAUCAAAGUUCUUCGCUUACACCGAAAGGAUGUCUGUGCAACCCAGGCCAUUUUGAG
Molecule: transfer RNA, 70 nt
Filed under: Polypedates macrotis (Baram whipping frog)
Lineage: Eukaryota; Metazoa; Chordata; Amphibia; Anura; Rhacophoridae
Description: tRNA-Val
Rfam family: tRNA
About the family: Transfer RNA (tRNA) molecules are approximately 80 nucleotides in length. Their secondary structure includes four short double-helical elements and three loops (D, anti-codon, and T loops).
Source: RNAcentral